CCUACGGGUGGCAGCAGUGAGGAAUAUUGGUCAAUGGGCGUACGCCUGAACCAGCCAAGUCGCGUGAGGGAAGACUGCCCUAUGGGUUGUAAACCUCUUUUGUCAGGGAGCAACGCCGGCUACGUGUAGCCGGACUGAGAGUACCUGAAGAAAAAGCAUCGGCUAACUCCGUGCCAGCAGCCGCGGUAAUACGGAGGUUGCGAGCGUUAUCCGGAUUUAUUGGGUUUAGAGGGGGCGUAGGCGGAAUGCCAAGUCAGCGGUAAAAUCGCGGGGCUCAGACUCGCUCCGCCGUUGAAACUGGCGGUCUUGAGUGGGCGAGAAGUAUGCGGAAUGCGUGGUGUAGCGGUGAAAUGCAUAGAGAUCACGCAGAACUCCGAUUGCGAAGGCAGCAUACCGGCGCCAAACUGACGCUGAAGCACGAAAGCGUGGGUAUCGAACAGGAGUAGAGACCCCAGUAGUC
This 460-nucleotide ribosomal RNA is filed under the name uncultured bacterium. RNAcentral's name for it is "partial 16S ribosomal RNA". It matches the Rfam family "Bacterial small subunit ribosomal RNA", at positions 338 to 795 of the family's 1533-position model. The record is from RNAcentral.